Molecule: unclassified non-coding RNA, 241 nt
Filed under: Hevea brasiliensis (rubber tree)
Lineage: Eukaryota; Viridiplantae; Streptophyta; Magnoliopsida; Malpighiales; Euphorbiaceae
Source: RNAcentral
GGGCACUAAAAUGAGGAGGAAGAUGUGGUUUCAGAAUAUGAAGAUAAAGUUGAUUGUGUUGGGCAUCAUAAUCGCUUUGAUUCUCAUAAUAAUCUUAUCAGUUUGCCAUGGCUUCCAUUGUUAAUUGAUAUCCAGAUAUGAAUAUGUAGAACUAUUUCUCGUUUCUGCCUUGUGAGAUUGUGAUACUGUCUGUAUUUUGAGUGUUGUAGUUUGUAUAGCGACUGCUCGGGAUUAUUUCUUG